RNAcentral lists this transfer RNA (72 nucleotides) under Uromyces viciae-fabae. Its description in RNAcentral is "tRNA-Gln (CTG) (tRNA-Gln-CTG-2-1)". It matches the Rfam family "tRNA". Rfam says of the family: Transfer RNA (tRNA) molecules are approximately 80 nucleotides in length. Lineage: Eukaryota; Fungi; Basidiomycota; Pucciniomycetes; Pucciniales; Pucciniaceae. The record is from RNAcentral.
CCUGUCAUCGUCUAGUGGUUAGGACCCCAGGUUCUGAUUCUGGUAACCCCGGUUCAAACCCGGGUGACAGGU